This 866-nucleotide ribosomal RNA is filed under the name Zeloasperisporium ficusicola. RNAcentral's name for it is "bacterial SSU rRNA". The stretch from base 89 to 866 matches the Rfam family "Eukaryotic small subunit ribosomal RNA", at positions 1 to 1131 of the family's 1831-position model. The record is from RNAcentral. Lineage: Eukaryota; Fungi; Ascomycota; Dothideomycetes.
UGCGCAGCAGUAGUAGGCCAGAUCGUGCUAGUCGACUCGGCGAUCGUGGCGGGUGCCGAGCGGCGAGACAACCCGGAUCGGGGGAGGCUACGGGGCCACGGGCCCUAUGCUAAUCCCGAGCGGAGCCCCUGGGGAGCGAUCCCCGGGCGGCCCGUGUAGAGCGCGCAAGGGGUGUCGGCGGGCCCGAUCGAAGGGCCCGCUUGAGGGGACGUGCCGUCCCCUGUGAAAACAGGUCGCAGUCUGGAGUGCCCGCCGCACGAAGGACCGCGAGCCCCCGGGCGAUGCUCGGGCGGUGGGACACGAAAACAACGGCCAGCAGCCGCGGUAAUUCCAGCUCCAAUAGCGUAUAUUAAAGUUGUUGCAGUUAAAAAGCUCGUAGUUGAACCUUGGGCCUGGCUGGCCGGUCCGCCGCAAGGCGUGCACUGGUCCGGCUGGGCUCCUCCUUCUGGGGAUCCCCAUGCCCUUCACUGGGCGUGGUGGGGAACCAGGACUUUUACUGUGAAAAAAUUAGAGUGUUCAAAGCAGGCCUUUGCUCGGAUACAUUAGCAUGGAAUAAUAGAAUAGGGCGGACCCCCUAUUUUGUUGGUUUCUAGGGGAGCCGCAAUGAUUAAUAGGGACAGUCGGGGGCAUCAGUAUUCAAUCGUCAGAGGUGAAAUUCUUGGAUCGAUUGAAGACUAACUACUGCGAAAGCAUUUGCCAAGGAUGUUUUCAUUAAUCAGGAACGAAAGUUAGGGGAUCGAAGACGAUCAGAUACCGUCGUAGUCUUAACCAUAAACUAUGCCGACUAGGGAUCGGAGGGGGUCUGCUAGAGCCCCCUUCGGCACCUUACGAGAAAUCAAAGUCUUUGGGUCUGGGGAGUAGCCACG